This 468-nucleotide ribosomal RNA is filed under the name uncultured bacterium. Its description in RNAcentral is "partial 16S ribosomal RNA". It matches the Rfam family "Bacterial small subunit ribosomal RNA", at positions 28 to 507 of the family's 1533-position model. The record is from RNAcentral.
GACGUACGCUGGCGGCGUGCUUAACACAUGCAGGUCGAACGGAAAGGCCCUGCUUUUGUGGGGUGCUCGAGUGGCGAACGGGUGAGUAACACGUGAGUAACCUGCCCUUGACUUUGGGAUAACUUCAGGAAACUGGGGCUAAUACCGGAUAGGAGCUCCUGCUGCAUGGUGGGGGUUGGAAAGUUUCGGCGGUUGGGGAUGGACUCGCGGCUUAUCAGCUUGUUGGUGGGGUAGUGGCUUACCAAGGCUUUGACGGGUAGCCGGCCUGAGAGGGUGACCGGCCACAUUGGGACUGAGAUACGGCCCAGACUCCUACGGGAGGCAGCAGUGGGGAAUAUUGCACAAUGGGCGGAAGCCUGAUGCAGCAACGCCGCGUGCGGGAUGACGGCCUUCGGGUUGUAAACCGCUUUCGCCUGUGACGAAGCGUGAGUGACGGUAAUGGGUAAAGAAGCACCGGCUAACUACGUG